Molecule: ribosomal RNA, 1831 nt
Filed under: Streptomyces alfalfae
Lineage: Bacteria; Bacillati; Actinomycetota; Actinomycetes; Kitasatosporales; Streptomycetaceae
Description: partial 23S ribosomal RNA
Rfam family: Bacterial large subunit ribosomal RNA
Source: RNAcentral
GAUGGGUAGGGGAGCGUCGUGUGCCGGGUGAAGCUGCGCCGGAAGGCAGUGGUGGACGGUUCACGAGUGAGAAUGCAGGCAUGAGUAGCGAUACAUACGUGAGAAACGUGUGCGCCGAUUGACUAAGGGUUCCUGGGUCAAGCUGAUCUGCCCAGGGUAAGUCGGGACCUAAGGCGAGGCCGACAGGCGUAGUCGAUGGAUAACCGGUUGAUAUUCCGGUACCCGCUGUGAAGCGUCAAACAUCGAAUCAGGCGAUGCUAAGUCCGUGAAGCCGUCCCGAUCUCUUCGGAGUUGAGGGAAGUGGUGGAGCCGACGGACCAGACUUGUAGUAGGUGAGUGAUGGGGUGACGCAGGAAGGUAGUCCAGCCCGGGCGGUGGUUGUCCCGGGGUAAGGGUGUAGCCCGUCAUCUAGGCAAAUCCGGAUGACAUGUGGGUGAGACCUGAUGCCGAGCCGAUUGUGGUGAAGUGGAUGAUCCUAUGCUGUCGAGAAAAGCCUCUAGCGAGUUUCAUGGCGGCCCGUACCCUAAACCGACUCAGGUGGUCAGGUAGAGAAUACCGAGGCGUUCGGGUGAACUAUGGUUAAGGAACUCGGCAAAAUGCCCCCGUAACUUCGGGAGAAGGGGGGCCAUCACUGGUGAUGAGUCUUGCACUCUGAGCUGGGGGUGGCCGCAGAGACCAGCGAGAAGCGACUGUUUACUAAAAACACAGGUCCGUGCGAAGCCGUAAGGCGAUGUAUACGGACUGACGCCUGCCCGGUGCUGGAACGUUAAGGGGACCGGUUAGUGCGCUUUCGGGCGUGCGAAGCUGAGAACUUAAGCGCCAGUAAACGGCGGUGGUAACUAUAACCAUCCUAAGGUAGCGAAAUUCCUUGUCGGGUAAGUUCCGACCUGCACGAAUGGCGUAACGACUUCUCGACUGUCUCAACCAUAGGCCCGGUGAAAUUGCACUACGAGUAAAGAUGCUCGUUUCGCGCAGAAGGACGGAAAGACCCCGGGACCUUUACUACAGUUUGAUAUUGGUGUUCGGUUCGGCUUGUGUAGGAUAGGUGGGAGACUGUGAAGCGGGCACGCCAGUGUUCGUGGAGUCGUCGUUGAAAUACCACUCUGGUCGUGCUGGAUGUCUAACCUCGGUCCGUGAUCCGGAUCAGGGACAGUGUCUGAUGGGUAGUUUAACUGGGGCGGUUGCCUCCCAAAGAGUAACGGAGGCGCCCAAAGGUUCCCUCAGCCUGGUUGGUAAUCAGGUGUUGAGUGUAAGUGCACAAGGGAGCUUGACUGUGAGACCGACGGGUCGAGCAGGGACGAAAGUCGGGACUAGUGAUCCGGCGGUGGCUUGUGGAAGCGCCGUCGCUCAACGGAUAAAAGGUACCCCGGGGAUAACAGGCUGAUCUUCCCCAAGAGUCCAUAUCGACGGGAUGGUUUGGCACCUCGAUGUCGGCUCGUCGCAUCCUGGGGCUGGAGUCGGUCCCAAGGGUUGGGCUGUUCGCCCAUUAAAGCGGUACGCGAGCUGGGUUUAGAACGUCGUGAGACAGUUCGGUCCCUAUCCUCUGUGCGCGUAGGAAUAUUGAGAAGGGCUGUCCCUAGUACGAGAGGACCGGGACGGACGAACCUCUGGUGUGCCAGUUGUCCUGCCAAGGGCAUGGCUGGUUGGCUACGUUCGGAAAGGAUAACCGCUGAAAGCAUCUAAGCGGGAAGCCUGCUUCGAGAUGAGUAUUCCCACCCCCUUUGAGGGGUUAAGGCUCCCAGUAGACGACUGGGUUGAUAGGCCAGAUCUGGAAGCCCGGUAACGGGUGGAGGUGACUGGUACUAAUAGGCCGAGGGCUUGUCCUCAGUUG